RNAcentral lists this transfer RNA (72 nucleotides) under Candidatus Pacebacteria bacterium CG1_02_43_31. RNAcentral describes it as "tRNA-Glu". It matches the Rfam family "tRNA". From Rfam's summary of the family: Transfer RNA (tRNA) molecules are approximately 80 nucleotides in length. Their secondary structure includes four short double-helical elements and three loops (D, anti-codon, and T loops). Further hydrogen bonds mediate the characteristic L-shaped molecular structure. tRNAs have two regions of fundamental functional importance: the anti-codon, which is responsible for specific mRNA codon recognition, and the 3' end, to which the tRNAs corresponding amino acid is attached (by aminoacyl-tRNA synthetases). tRNAs cope with the degeneracy of the genetic code in two manners: having more than one tRNA (with a specific anti-codon) for a particular amino acid; and 'wobble' base-pairing, i.e. permitting non-standard base-pairing at the 3rd anti-codon position. RNAcentral also lists the same sequence under 4 other names. Lineage: Bacteria; Bacillati; Minisyncoccota. The record is from RNAcentral.
GGCCCUAUCGUCUAUCGGUUAGGACACCAGGUUUUCAUCCUGAUAAGCAGAGUUCGACUCUCUGUGGGGUCA